AGCGAACGCUGGCGGCAGGCCUAACACAUGCAAGUCGAACGGAUCCUUCGGGAUGAGUGGCGGACGGGUGAGUAACACGUGGGAACGUGCCCUGUGGUUCGGAACAACUCAGGGAAACUUGAGCUAAUAUCGGAUGUGCCCUUCGGGGGAAAGAUUUAUCGCCAUUGGAGCGGCCCGCGUCUGAUUAGCUAGUUGGUGAGGUAAAGGCUCACCAAGGCGACGAUCAGUAGCUGGUCUGAGAGGAUGAUCAGCCACAUUGGGACCGAGACACGGCCCAAACUCCUACGGGAGGCAGCAGUGGGGAAUCUUGCGCAAUGGGCGAAAGCCUGACGCAGCCAUGCCGCGUGAAUGAUGAAGGUCUUAGGAUUGUAAAAUUCUUUCACCGGGGACGAUAAUGACGGUACCCGGAGAAGAAGCCCCGGCUAACUUCGUGCCAGCCGCCGCGGUAA
Molecule: ribosomal RNA, 449 nt
Filed under: uncultured bacterium
Lineage: Bacteria
Description: partial 16S ribosomal RNA
Rfam family: Bacterial small subunit ribosomal RNA
Source: RNAcentral